This is a long non-coding RNA of Myotis brandtii (Brandt's bat), 362 nucleotides long. RefSeq lists it as uncharacterized. Lineage: Eukaryota; Metazoa; Chordata; Mammalia; Chiroptera; Vespertilionidae. The transcript has 3 exons. The record is from RefSeq and is a predicted model, not a curated record.
AGUACCUUGUAACCCCCUCCGUGUGUAUCCUGAUAAGCCCAGAAGGCCACCGGAGCACACUGAUAUGAGACACUGAAGAAGCCCACCCAUGGGGUAUAAAAGAAGGACUCUCACAGCCGCAGUCAGACGUUUGUCUGCCCUCCACAGACAGCCGUUCUCCUCCCCCCUGGAAACUGCCAAACUGCCAUUCCUGCUCUGCCUUUGAGCCCAGACUGUUAAGAGGUCUCUCUUUGAGUCAAGAGACCGAGCUCCUUGCCGCGGUGUAUUAGAUGACCUCCGUGUGUCUCUGUCAGCGAGUGUCUCCGGGUGGCCUGCCAAGGACUGAAACUCAUCAGCUCUCUGCAAAACCAUGGGUGGCAGAG